This 498-nucleotide ribosomal RNA is filed under the name uncultured bacterium. Its description in RNAcentral is "partial 16S ribosomal RNA". It matches the Rfam family "Bacterial small subunit ribosomal RNA", at positions 29 to 523 of the family's 1533-position model. The record is from RNAcentral.
AUUGAACGCUGGCGGCAUGCUUUACACAUGCAAGUCGAACGGUAACAGGCCGCAAGGUGCUGACGAGUGGCGAACGGGUGAGUAACGCAUCGGAACGUGCCCAGUCGUGGGGGAUAACGCAGCGAAAGCUGUGCUAAUACCGCAUACGAUCUGUGGAUGAAAGCGGGGGACCGUAAGGCCUCGCGCGAUUGGAGCGGCCGAUGUCAGAUUAGGUAGUUGGUGGGGUAAAGGCUCACCAAGCCGACGAUCUGUAGCUGGUCUGAGAGGACGACCAGCCACACUGGGACUGAGACACGGCCCAGACUCCUACGGGAGGCAGCAGUGGGGAAUUUUGGACAAUGGGCGCAAGCCUGAUCCAGCAAUGCCGCGUGCAGGAAGAAGGCCUUCGGGUUGUAAACUGCUUUUGUACGGAGCGAAAAGGCUCCCUCUAAUACAGGGGGCUCAUGACGGUACCGUAAGAAUAAGCACCGGCUAACUACGUGCCAGCCGCCGCCGUAA